AUACGGAGGGUGCAAGCGUUAUCCGGAUUUAUGGGGUUUAAAGGGUCCGUAGGCGGAUCUGUAAGUCAGUGGUGAAAUCUCAUAGCUUAACUAUGAAACUGCCAUUGAUACUGCAGGUCUUGAGUAAGGUAGAAGUAGCUGGAAUAAGUAGUGUAGCGGUGAAAUGCAUAGAUAUUACUUAGAACACCAAUUGCGAAGGCAGGUUACUAUGUCUUAACUGACGCUGAUGGACGAAAGCGUGGGGGGCGAACAGGAUUAGAAACCCGAGUAGUCC
RNAcentral lists this ribosomal RNA (274 nucleotides) under uncultured bacterium. RNAcentral's name for it is "partial 16S ribosomal RNA". It matches the Rfam family "Bacterial small subunit ribosomal RNA", at positions 523 to 796 of the family's 1533-position model. The record is from RNAcentral.